CCUACGGGGGGCUGCAGUGGGGAAUAUUGGACAAUGGGCGCAAGCCUGAUCCAGCAAUGCCGCGUGGGUGAAGAAGGCCUGCGGGUUGUAAAGCCCUUUAAGCGGGGAGGAAAGCCGGGGUGCAAAUAGCGCCUCGGGGUGACGUUACCCGCAGAAUAAGCACCGGCUAACUCCGUGCCAGCAGCCGCGGUAAUACGGGGGGUGCGAGCGUUAAUCGGAAUGACUGGGCGUAAAGCGUGCGUAGGCGGUGUAAUCAGUCAGCCGUGAAAGCCCCGGGCUUAACCUGGGAAUGGCGGUUGAGACGGUUAAACUAGAGUGGGCUAGAGGACUGUGGAACUCCCGGUGUAGCGGUGAAAUGCGUAGAGAUCGGGAAGAACACCGAUGGCGAAGGCAGCAGUCUGGGGCCACACUGACGCUGAGGCACGACGGCGUGGGGAGCAAACAGGAUUAGAUACCCCGGUAGUC
RNAcentral lists this ribosomal RNA (465 nucleotides) under uncultured Gammaproteobacteria bacterium. RNAcentral's name for it is "bacterial SSU rRNA". It matches the Rfam family "Bacterial small subunit ribosomal RNA", at positions 338 to 795 of the family's 1533-position model. Lineage: Bacteria; Pseudomonadati; Pseudomonadota; Gammaproteobacteria. The record is from RNAcentral.